UUUAUGGAGAGUUUGAUCCUGGCUCAGGAUGAACGCUGGCGGCGUGCCUAAUACAUGCAAGUCGAGCGAACGGACGAGAAGCUUGCUUCUCUGAUGUUAGCGGCGGACGGGUGAGUAACACGUGGAUAACCUACCUAUAAGACUGGGAUAACUUCGGGAAACCGGAGCUAAUACCGGAUAAUAUUUUGAACCGCAUGGUUCGAAAGUGAAAGACGGUCUUGCUGUCACUUAUAGAUGGAUCCGCGCUGCAUUAGCUAGUUGGUAAGGUAACGGCUUACCAAGGCAACGAUGCAUAGCCGACCUGAGAGGGUGAUCGGCCACACUGGAACUGAGACACGGUCCAGACUCCUACGGGAGGCAGCAGUAGGGAAUCUUCCGCAAUGGGCGAAAGCCUGACGGAGCAACGCCGCGUGAGUGAUGAAGGUCUUCGGAUCGUAAAACUCUGUUAUUAGGGAAGAACAUAUGUGUAAGUAACUGUGCACAUCUUGACGGUACCUAAUCAGAAAGCCACGGCUAACUACGUGCCAGCAGCCGCGGUAAUACGUAGGUGGCAAGCGUUAUCCGGAAUUAUUGGGCGUAAAGCGCGCGUAGGCGGUUUUUUAAGU
This 605-nucleotide ribosomal RNA is filed under the name Escherichia coli. Its description in RNAcentral is "bacterial SSU rRNA". It matches the Rfam family "Bacterial small subunit ribosomal RNA", at positions 1 to 588 of the family's 1533-position model. The record is from RNAcentral. Lineage: Bacteria; Pseudomonadati; Pseudomonadota; Gammaproteobacteria; Enterobacterales; Enterobacteriaceae.